This is a non-coding RNA of Angiostrongylus cantonensis (rat lungworm), 73 nucleotides long. The record is from Rfam. NCBI's taxonomy places the organism in Eukaryota, Metazoa, Nematoda, Chromadorea, Rhabditida, Metastrongylidae.
GGUCCUGUGGUGUAGUGGUUAUCACGUCUGCUUCACACGCAGAAGGUUGCCGGUUCGAUCCCGGCCAGUACAU